This 154-nucleotide non-coding RNA is filed under the name Pseudomonas syringae. Its description in RNAcentral is "FMN sequence". It matches the Rfam family "FMN riboswitch aptamer (RFN element)". Rfam says of the family: The RFN element is a highly conserved domain that is found frequently in the 5'-untranslated regions of prokaryotic mRNAs that encode for flavin mononucleotide (FMN) biosynthesis and transport proteins. This element is a metabolite-dependent riboswitch that directly binds FMN in the absence of proteins. Lineage: Bacteria; Pseudomonadati; Pseudomonadota; Gammaproteobacteria; Pseudomonadales; Pseudomonadaceae. The record is from RNAcentral.
CAACGUUCUCAGGGCGGGGUGCGAUUCCCCACCGGCGGUAAUGACGCGCAAUGCGUUUAGCCCGCGAGCGCUCACCCGAUUUUCCAGGUGAGGUCAGCAGACCUGGUGUGAUCCCAGGGCCGACGGUCAUAGUCCGGAUGAAGAGAGAACGGGA